This 2631-nucleotide ribosomal RNA is filed under the name Triticum aestivum (bread wheat). RNAcentral describes it as "partial small subunit ribosomal RNA". Lineage: Eukaryota; Viridiplantae; Streptophyta; Magnoliopsida; Poales; Poaceae. The record is from RNAcentral.
AUGUCAUGUAUGCCUUGCCUUAGAGCACGAGCAAUGCGGAAAAAAAACAGAAACCUGCGCUCUAGUGGUGGUGACGAAGGCGGGAUAACUUCUGGUCUAUCAAGUAGACACCCAUUCUCGAUUCCUAAGCGCAAUGGAUUUGUUUCUGUUGGCGAAAGCUGUAUUCUGAAGACAAAUCAUUUUAAACCAUCGACUUAUUGUGACAAUAUUUACCGAUAUGAGGUAUUUAUGAACUAUGAGUUUCUGUCAUCUGGCCCCUCUCAUGCUACCGCCAUCUCAUGUGGUGUCAAACGUGCUGUUAUGAGAAAGCUUUGCAAGAUGUAUAGGGAAUCACAUUUGCGUGGCCGGCGUCCUGCAUAUGAUGGAAGGAACAGGUUAUAUGCAUCUGGACCGUUUUCAUUUGAAUCUGAGACCUUUGUUAUAACAUUACAAAAUGAGGAAGAUAGUCUUGAUUAUGGGCAAACCCCACAGAGGCCCACGACAGUGUUUUCUGUCACGAUAACUUACAAUGCAUUUUUGACCGGAGCAAUUGACAGUGAAGAAUUCAUUCAAGCAUGCAACACUGUUCUGUGUGAAUCUCCGAUUGAAGGGCAUUUCCGAGUCGGUCGAUCAUUUUAUCGAUCUAGUGCGAUGUUCCACGAACUUGGUGGAGGCUUGAAAGGCUGCUGUGGUUUUUAUCGAAGCAUACAACGCAGUCAGAUGGGACUUUCACUAAAUAUCGAUACUUCCUAUAAAGCAUUCAUCAAGCCUCAACUCGUGAUUGAUUUUGUUGCCGAGCUUCUUUGCAGACGCAUCUCCGAUGGCCCCAUAAAUUAUAUUGAACGCCUGAAGAUCGCGAAAGCUUUGCAUGGUAUAAAGGUUUAUGUCACACAUAGGGGCGAUGUGCGUAAGAAGUACCGUAUAUCUGGCCUUUCAUCAGAAGGGGCAAGCAAGCUAUCUUUUCCAGUUGGUGAUCAUGGAACUCAGAAGACAGUAAUGCAAUACUUCCAGGAGAAACAUGGCUAUGAUAUUCAGCAUUUUGUUUUGCCUUGCUUGCAAGUUGGUAAUCAGCAGAGGCCAAAUUACCUGCCAAUGGAGGUCUGUAAGAUAGCCGAGGGACAACACUACAGAGAACAGUUAAAUGAGGAACAGUUAUCUGCUCUUCGUGAAGUUACUUGCCAGCGCCCCAUAGAGAAGGAACUGGCCAUUUUACAGACUUCAAAAUUAUACAAUGCGGACCCAUAUACAAAGGAAUUUGGCAUAACUUUUUAUAACAAACUCACAACAGUUGAAGGUCGUGUGCUACCUCCUCCUUACCUUAAAUUUCUUGAUCGCACUGGCAAAAAUGAUGUAUUAGUGUUACCAAAAGUCGGCAAGUGGGACAUGUGGUGCAAGAAAAUGGUCAAUGGAGGAGUAGUUAACACCUGGGCAUGCAUUAACUUUGCUUGGGAAGUCACAGAUGCUCAUGCUCUGAAUUUUUGUGAUGAGUUGGUGCUGAUGUGCAAUGUAUCCGGGAUGGACCUCAGGCCUGAACCUGUGCUCCCUGUAGCAGCUUAUGACCCUAAAUCCGUAGCACGGUCACUCAAGAAACACCAUAAACGUGUCAUGAACAUACUUGGACCACGGCGCCAAAAACUCGACCUGCUGAUUCUAAUAUUGCCUGACAAUAAUGGCACUCUUUAUGGUGACAUCAAAAGAAUAUUGGAGACAGAUAUUGGAGUGGUCUCUCAAUGUUGUCUUGCAAAACAUGUUUUUAUGCCAAAAAAACAGUAUUUUGCGAAUGUUGCCCUUAAAAUUAAUGUUAAGGCCGGAGGGAGAAAUACGGUACUUGUUAGUGCUUUGGAGAGGAAACUCCCCCGUAUUGGUAAAAUACCGACUAUCAUAUUUGGCGCUGAUGUUAGUCAUCCACAUCCUGGAGAAGGAUGUUCUAGUCCUUCCAUUGCAGCUGUUGUUGCUUCUCAAGACUGGCCUGAGAUUACCAAGUAUGCUGGAUUAGUCAGUCCACAAACCCAUCGGGAAGAAGUCAUAAAUAACCUUUUUAAUGAAGAAACUGGUGGAAUGAUCAAAGAGCACCUCAUUUCUUUCAGGAGGGCAACUGGAUGCAUACCUGGGAGAAUCAUAUUUUACAGGGAUGGUGUCAGCAAUGGACAGCUUAAUCAGGUUUUGGAUGUUGAACUUUCUGCCAUAAAAAAGGCCUGUGCAUCCCUGGACCCUUGCUAUAGCCCACGAGUUACCUUUGUUGUCGUUCAGAAACGUCAUCAUACCCGUCUGUUUUCUGAUAACUAUGAUGUUGUGAGUACAAUUUAUGGAAGUGGAAAUGUACUGCCUGGUACAGUGAUUGAUAAAGAAGUAUGCCAUCCCACUGACUUUGAUUUUUAUUUGUGUAGCCAUGCUGUCACUAAGGGAGUGAGCCGACCUGUGCGUUAUCAUGUUCUGUGGGAUGAAAACAAGUUUACGGCUAACGCUUUGCAAACGCUCACAAACCACCUAUGCUACACGUAUGCGAGAUGCACCUCUUCUGUUUCAGUUGUGCCUCCUGUCUACUAUGCACAUCUUUUGGCUUCGCGGGGACGACUUUAUAUCAAACGAGGGCAUGAGGGAUCCUUUCCCGUUCUCAGUGAAAAUGUGAAAGGUGUUAUGUUUUUCUGCUAA